This 91-nucleotide transfer RNA is filed under the name Alistipes indistinctus. RNAcentral's name for it is "tRNA-Ser". It matches the Rfam family "tRNA". From Rfam's summary of the family: Transfer RNA (tRNA) molecules are approximately 80 nucleotides in length. Their secondary structure includes four short double-helical elements and three loops (D, anti-codon, and T loops). Lineage: Bacteria; Pseudomonadati; Bacteroidota; Bacteroidia; Bacteroidales; Rikenellaceae. RNAcentral also lists the same sequence under 3 other names. The record is from RNAcentral.
GGAAAAGUGUCCGAGCGGUCGAAGGAGCACGCCUGGAAAGUGUGUAUACCUCAAAAGGGUAUCGCGGGUUCGAAUCCCGCCUUUUCCGCCA